GUGUGAGCACGGGCGGUGGCUCCGACGUGGUAACCACGGGGACGGCACCUCAAAACCUGGACAAACGGCCUUGACCUCGUCUGUGGUGGCCUGAGGAGGAACACGCAGGAGGAAACCGUCCCGGGGCGGCCGCGAGCGCUGGAAACAGCGGAGAUCUCCAAGGUGACAGGGGUUCAGGCAGAGGCGGUGCGGCCCUCACGGCCCGUCCUCGUCAAGGAGCGUCAGGCACCCGCAGGUCAUCUUGGCUCGGCGGGGAGGCGGGCUCGCAACCCCGCGACUUACCUUUGUUCUGCGUAAGGACGUUGGGAACAGAAGGGGCGGAGCGCCGGCUCGUCCGUGGGCCCGAGCCUACUUUAAACAACAGGGACAACUUCUGUCACAUAUGCCAGCUCAUCUCGGACUUCUCUCUGCGCAGGUGGAACCAGCCUAUUAGUCCACUCAAGGCUGGGUGGCUGACACAACAUCUAUUUUCUCACAGUUCUGGAGGCUAGAAGUCCAGUAUUAAGGUGCCAGCACGCUUGCUGUCAGUUGAGAGGUCUAUUCCUAGAUUAUAAAGGGCCGCUGGCUCUCUGUAUCCUCACAUGGGAGUUGGUGGGAGAAGAGAGAGAGUGAGCAGAAGCUCUGAUGUCUCAUAAGGGCACGAAUCCCACCAUGGGAGCCCUUGCCCUCAGGACUUCAUGUAACCGAAUUACCUCCAAAAAGGUCCCAUCUUCAAAUUCCGUCACAAUGGGGGUUUGGACUUCAACAGAUGAAUUCUGGGGACACAAUUCAGUCCACAGCCCUUAGUAAAUCAACCACUCAAGAAUACUAGGUAUUUUCAGUUUGGAGUUUAUAACCAAUAAUUUGUAUGAAGGCUGGUUCUUGAGAAUAAAAUGAAUAGUAGACAUUA
Long non-coding RNA from Canis lupus familiaris (dog), 889 nucleotides. RefSeq lists it as uncharacterized. The record is from RefSeq and is a predicted model, not a curated record. The transcript is spliced from 2 exons. Lineage: Eukaryota; Metazoa; Chordata; Mammalia; Carnivora; Canidae.